Long non-coding RNA from Neltuma alba, 144 nucleotides. RefSeq lists it as uncharacterized. The record is from RefSeq and is a predicted model, not a curated record. Lineage: Eukaryota; Viridiplantae; Streptophyta; Magnoliopsida; Fabales; Fabaceae. The transcript has 3 exons.
GCUGCAUCUCUCGCAGAAAACAAGACAUGGUGAAUGUUUCGUACAUGAUCAUCCUUUGACAAUAAAGUUUGAACCAAUUGAUCCACAGCAAGAUUCGCCGAUAAAUUGAGAAUGUCUUCUGGUGUUUCCGAAGUAAUAUCCUUC